UUUGAGUAAAUUAUUUAUUAGAGUAUAAAUAUUUAAAAUAAUAUUAAGUUUAAUUAAUUGAUAUGAAAUAAUUUUUUUAAUUAUAGUGAAUUAGUAUAGUGAUAGAAUAGGUAGUUAAAUAUUUAAAAGAAUAAUUGGGUUUUAGUACCUUGUGUAUCAGGGUUUAUUAAUAAAUGAUUAAUAAAUUAAUGUUCUCGAUUUUGAAAGAGUUAAUUAUUUAUUAAUUUUAUUGUAAAAUAAAUAUUUAAGAUAUAUAAUUAGUAAUGAAACGUUAGUCGUUUUCAAAUAUAUCUAGUUUUUUAAGAAAAAAAUUUAAUUUUUUUUAUAUAAAUAUAGGGUUUAAAUAUAAAAUUAAUAUAUUUUAUAUGAAAUAUAGUAAUAGGGAUUAGCUUAUUAUUAGAUUUUUUAAAAAUAAUUUUUUGAGAAAAAAUUGUAGGAUUAGAAAUUUUCAUCAUAUAGUUUGUUAUAAUUAAUUUAUUAAAAAAGUAAGUUUUUAUAUAAUUUUUAAAUAUUUUAUUAAAAAUUAGAAUUAAGUAAUUUAAUUUUAGGUAUAAUGAUAAAAUUAGUAUAGUUAAAUGUAUUAAUAAUUAAUUUAGUUAGGUUAAUUGAAGGAAUUCGGCAAAAUAAUUUUUCGCCUGUUUAUUAAAAACAUGUCUUUAUGAAUUUUAAUAUAAAGUCUAACCUGCCCAAUGAAAUUUUAAAUGGCCGCAGUAUUUUGACUGUGCAAAGGUAGCAUAAUCAUUAGUUUUUUAAUUAAAAGCUGGAAUGAAGGGUUGAACGAGAAAAUUACUGUCUUAAGUUAAAUUUAUUAGAAAUUUAUUUUUAAGUUAAAAAGCUUAAAUUUAUUUAAAAGACGAGAAGACCCUAUAGAGUUUUACAUUUUUAAAAAAAUUUUAUUUAUGGGAUUAUUUUUAUAUUUUUGAAUAAAAUGUUUUAUUGGGGUGAUAGGAAAAUUUUAUUAACUUUUUUUUUAUUAUAUCAUUAAAUUAGUGAAUUAUUGAUCCUAUAAGAUUAUAGAUUAUAAGAUUAAAUUACCUUAGGGAUAACAGCGUAAUUUUUUUGGAGAGUUCUAAUCGAUAAAAAAGUUUGCGACCUCGAUGUUGGAUUAAAAUUUAUAAUUGGUGUAGAAGCUGAUUUAUUAGGUCUGUUCGACCUUUAAAAUUUUACAUGAUCUGAGUUUAAACCGGUGUGAGCCAGGUUGGUUUCUAUCUUUAAUAAGUUGAAAUAUUUUAGUACGAAAGGACCAAGUAUUUAUAAUAAUUAUUUAGGUUUGAUUUAUAUUAUUAUUUU
This 1290-nucleotide ribosomal RNA is filed under the name Staphylinidae sp. BMNH 1274241. Its description in RNAcentral is "large subunit ribosomal RNA". The stretch from base 1042 to 1200 matches the Rfam family "Archaeal large subunit ribosomal RNA", at positions 2542 to 2701 of the family's 2987-position model. The record is from RNAcentral. Lineage: Eukaryota; Metazoa; Arthropoda; Insecta; Coleoptera; Staphylinidae.